Molecule: non-coding RNA, 131 nt
Organism: Panaeolus papilionaceus
Lineage: Eukaryota; Fungi; Basidiomycota; Agaricomycetes; Agaricales
Source: the annotation of a GenBank genome assembly
UGCCCCAUAGCCACAGCCCAGCUGGUUAAGGCGUUCGACUGUUGGCAAGGAUCAUCCAACCAAACUUCGAGUUGAUUGGUGAGAUGAGAAGUACUAUCGGGAGAUCAAGAGUUCGAUCCUUUCUGGGGCAG